CGGGAGGCGGAGCUUGCAGUGAGCCAAGAUCACACCACUGCACUCUAGUCUGGGCCACAGAGUGAGACUCUGCCUCAAAAAAAUACAAAACAUAAAUAAAUAAAAUAGCAAAUUCUUACUUGUGUUGUUUAGAGCACACACAGUCACAUGUGAAGCAAAUCAUUUAAUCCCAAGCAUGGAUUAUGAUUUUCUUACUAUGUGGCAUCCCAGAGAGGGCGUUUCUGUUUUCAAGUUUUUUUAAGGUCUCCAUUAAAAGCGUGAAAUUCUCUGAAAGUCGCCGCAAGCUGGGCGGCGUGUGUGCGGGACUGUCUGAUCAGUGUGUGGGCCUUGUCUGACCUGAGGAAAGUGUAGUGGGGUCUGAGCUGACGUCCGGCCGCACUCACCUGCUGUAGGGAAGGGUGGAUUAAGUCACUUCCCUAAAUUGUUUCCUCAUCUGUAGAACUGGGAUUGUGUCCACCUCAUCGGUAAGUAAAUAGGCUAAUUAAUUAAGCGGAAUCUCUGAGAAGUGAUGCUCCCUGGGUCAGCAGAAGUCUAAAUAACGAGGCAGCCUGUGGUUCGUGGUGGGGGGUACGUACAGUGACUACUGCAUUUUCAAACACUUCUCUUGCUUCUUCAUAGGCACAGAUUUCUUCAUAACAUUCUUUUUCCAAGUUUCCCUCGAAGAGUUCUUCCAGGAGAUAGGAGCCCGCACGCUUCCACCUCACCAGAACGUCAUUUGCUUUGGAGGCCGGGAGAAAUACUACAGACAAGACAAGAAGACAGGUGACUGGGAGCACCGAGGGCCCUGCUUUCCAGAGCUGCCUGGCUUCCGCCCCAGCCAGCCGCCAGCCCCUGCCCGCUCCGUCUCCACAGCCUCUCAGCCGCGAGGGCCUCAGGACCACCCCGCCACUCCCUCCCCUGUGGUAGGCAAGCACUUCAUCCUCUGGGCAAAUGGACCAGCCGCAGGAUCCGUGCAGAUACAUUAAGGGUCUGCAGAGAGGCCACGGGCCUCAGUCAGGAAAGUGGAGGAGGAAGGGCUCCAACCGGGUUUUGGGUCCCGGUGCGAAGGAAGGCCGAGCUGGGAUCAGAGGUCACUGUGCUGAGAACUGGGGACCAAGAGCCAUCACUCCUGGGCUGCCUCUGUGCACAGGAUUUAACAUCUUGAUAAAACACAAAGAGAAGAAACUUAUACAUUGCAGCAGGCUCUGCGAUUUCCAGGAGGAGAAGGCAAACCAGUCGGCCCGCGGCAGUCGUCUCUAGAGCCUCUUCCGGCCCGAGGGCCCCAAAGCACGUUGUCUCCUCUCGCGGAGGGUCAAAGCCCAGGCCCUUCACAUCCUCCCUCCCUUUCUCUCGGUGCUGAGGGUUACAGCAGGGACGGCUCAGCUAAGUCCGGCCACGCUUUCCUGGACGCCUGUGCAGGCAGAGUCAGGAUGGAGUCCGCGUCUGUUCCUCCAGCGAAGCGGCUGGUGGUAGAAGGGUGGCAGGCGGGCAGGGUGGCUGCUCCCUGGCUGUGUCUCCUGACUCAAGACUGAGCACUCCUGGCCAGCCUGGCCCAGGCACUCUCUGCCCACAUUGCAGUCGGGGCUCGGCCUGCCCCAGCCCCUCCCCUCCUGUCCAGUGCCCAGCCCAGGCCUGGGGCCCCCCUCCUCCCUCCUCCCCCUCCCUGGCCUCUCCCCACCGAAUCUCCUGCACACACGCUUCUUUCCAUUUGGGCAUCUCUUGGGAGGACCCCAAGUGACACCAUCAUGUCCCAAAUACUUGUCACCAAAUGAUAAAGACCUAAACGGCUUUUUCAGGGGAAUUAAGACAAGUCUGGGCACUCAGGGCUCCUCCGGCUCCUGGGAAAAGUGUCAUCUACAAAUCCACCGUGGACUGAAUCAAGGACACAGCACAGGCACAACAGACAGGGUGGCAGCAGAGAGAACGAGUGCAAGCAGCGGAAAUGCCAGAUGCUUAUAAAACCCUCAAAUCUCAUGAGACUCACUCACUGUCCCAAGAACAGCAUGGCAGAAACCACCCCAUGAUCCAAUCACCUCCCACCGGGUCCCUCCCUCGACACGUGCGGAUUGUGGGAAUUACAAUUCAAGACAAGCUUUGGGUGGGGACACAGUCAAACCGUAUCAGUACCUGAAGCCUGAGGUUCACUUGGUUUUCAUGGCCAUUUAACUUGAGGCCUGGGGACACUGCCGGAUGGAGCGGGGUAAGGACUCCACAUCUGGACCUGAGGAGAGGAGGAGCCCCCUGCAGCCCUCCUGCCACACACCCCCACUCAGCACCUGAGGCGCUCCAGAAGCUUCCAGAGGCUCCUGGCCAGCUUCACUCCAGAGACUGAUCUCAGGGGCCAGGCUGUGGCCUGGAUGCAGGCACGCUAAAGCCCCCAGGGGGUUCUAAGGGUGGCCAGGGUGGGGGCCCACUGUGCAAGGUCAGGUCACCGCCUGGUGAGCAGGUCACCCACCCGGGGGAUGUCCGUGCGCCCCCACCAUGCAAGCCCAAGCUGGGGUGGGGCCUGGCACCGUGCGGUUGAAGAGCACCCGGUGGUUUAGGUCAAUGCAAAACGUCCGCCCCAACGAGAGGCUUUCUGGACGUUUCCCUACCGGGGAGUCUGCGAGUCAUAGGCAGUCACCGGGGAGGUGUCAGUUCCCCAGGGGACAAGAGAGCCCAGGCCAGGUGGGAGGUCUCGGGGAGGACAUGCCAGCGUGUGGGCCCCUCCCGACCCCACGGGGCCUGCACAGGCUCCCACCUGCCUCUGGGCAUGACGCAGACACGGGAAGCUGUCUGGGGAAAGGAAUGCCCAUGGUAG
Piliocolobus tephrosceles (Ugandan red Colobus) is the source of this 2779-nucleotide long non-coding RNA. RefSeq lists it as uncharacterized. Lineage: Eukaryota; Metazoa; Chordata; Mammalia; Primates; Cercopithecidae. The record is from RefSeq and is a predicted model, not a curated record. The transcript has 4 exons.